RNAcentral lists this ribosomal RNA (492 nucleotides) under uncultured bacterium. RNAcentral's name for it is "partial 16S ribosomal RNA". It matches the Rfam family "Bacterial small subunit ribosomal RNA", at positions 28 to 507 of the family's 1533-position model. The record is from RNAcentral.
GAUGAACGCUGGCGGUGUGCCUAACACAUGCAAGUCGAGCGACAACACGAGAAGCUCGUUCUCUUGCCGGUAGCGGCGGACGGGCGAGUAACAAGUACAUCACAAUCUACUAUUUCUGGGAUGAUUACGGGAAAAAGCUGACGCUAAUGGCUCAUAUAUUCUACGGCUUGGAUCAAUAGAGCUUGACAGCUUUCCUGUUUGUAUUAGCCGAUUGCGGAUUGGCUAGUUGGGUUGGUAAGGUCCCACCAAGGCGACGAUCCGUAGCUGGUCUGAGAGGAUGAUCAGCCACACUGGAACUGAGACACGGUCCAGACUCCUACGGGAGGCAGCAGUGGGGAAUAUUGGACAAUGGGCGCAAGCCUGAUCCAGCAAUACCGCGUGGGUGAAGAAGGCCUUCGGGUUGUAAAGCCCUUUUGUUGGGAAAGAAAAGAAGUAGGUUAAUACACCGAUGUUCUGACGGUACCCAAAGAAUAAGCACCGGCUAACUUCGUG